UGUUGGGGUUGGUGUUGAAUUUUUCACCUUUUACCCUACCAAAUCUCAAAAGUUUAAUUUCUGUCCUGCAGGUCCACGUGGUUUCCAGGAUAUUUCCUCCUUUCCCAGAAGUGCCCUCUAUGUCAUACCCCGUGGGGUGACCUUUAUCACCACCCAUGGGCUUUGGGACACCCCUACCUUCUCUAAACUGGGGUCCUCUGGGACCUCACCUUCCUCCUCCACCAUGUGGAAAGAUGAUAUGACCAGUAUGAGUUGACUUAUAAAGCACGUUUUGUCUUUUACUUGUUAUGUGUUUGGAGAAAUUGCAGUGAUGGCACCACAGGGCUUUCAGGUCUGCCUGAGUGAGGACGUUGUAAUGUUCUUCACGUUUCUCAGGACAUGCAUGAAAUGGGUACUCAUUUCCACAUAGUGAGCUGGGCAACACGUGUCUCUGAUAGAGAAGGAAAGAGGCCUUAUACAUGCUGACAGACAUAGCACUCCCUAGGAUGUAGCUUGUACAGAGACCAUGUGCUGGGCUCUCUGAGGGAUGAAACACACCACUAACAUACUUUCUAGCGAGUUGAGACCUGAGCUGUUCACAGCUGCUUGAUUAGUUACAAAAACACCUGAACCAGGGCUCUGUAAACCUUCCUCAAGAGACAGGAUCAGAUCUCCCUCUUGUCCUCAAGGGUCACCCGAGGUACAUGAAAAACGCUCUGUCCCUGGUAAGGGACCCGAGUGUGAAUGAGUUGAAUAUAAUGAAACAUGUGGUGGAUGGUUUGUUUUUCUUCCACACAGCCUAUGCAAGUCAGAAUCAACCUCCAUCCACGUCCAUCCUUUAUGAGACCUAAGACGUGAUGCAGCUCCCAUGGGAAAUAUCAGGUGUGUCUCUACCAAGGAUGCAGAGAAAGACAAGGUAAAUUCUGUUGCCCUUUUCAGUUGCAAUGCUUUCUGGAAACUUUUAUCUGGCAUUGUCUGGUUUUCUUUGUCCUCUGGUGUCUUUACUGUUUGAUUUACAUCCUCACAAGCCUCCAGGCUUCUCCGAUGUAACAUCAUCAUGUUGGCUAGUGCCUCUGAAUGCCACAGGUACAUGGAGGCUGAGGACCACAUGGCUUUCACUUAGUGUUCGUGGAAAUAACUUGAGGAGGAUGACACUUCACUGCACCCUCAAGUCUUCUGGAGCAUCUGACUCCUUCCACACCUUCUUUACACGGUCUCGUGGAUUGCGGGGUCCCACGACAUCACCUCAUCGAUGCAGUCGAUGGUUUGUUCCAGAUUCAGACUUGUUUCCGGGAAGAAACCCUGACAAAUUCAGAAGAACGGGAGCUGCAUUCCAUUAGGAUGUGAAUACACGAAAUGUUCGUCUCAGGACCUUUUAGAAGAAUGAACUGGGACUCACUUUCCGAGUCCUGCUGGAACCAGAGACCGAGUUUCCAUGUUUUAGCUGUACCUGUGACACAGGACACGAGAGAACUUGCUCAUGUGAACAAUAGUGAAGGACACCAUGGGCACUUGCCACACAGGUUCAUCUCCUAGCCAGAAUCAAGAAAGGAAGACACAGCAGCCACACUGUUCCCACAGAGGUGAGGUCUGGAAGGGAUCACCCAGGCUGGGAGACCUCUGUUUGGAGUGUGCAGUCAUCCUCCUCUCAUUAUUUCCUGAAACUCACGGAAAAACCUUAAGACCACACGAUGAUCACACACAGGAACAGGUUGCACAGCAGAAAUUAGACUGUGGCACAUCACAACGUGCUCCUUACCUCUCCUUGAAGGGUUCUUGCAGUGAUUGGUUUCUGCCUCGUGUAUCCCUCAGGCAGCCUCUUUGGUUCCAUCCCUUCCAGUCUUGGAUACAGAAAAAUAAUGGACUUCUAUAAGAGUUGCAACACCACGUCGUCUACUAGACAACAAACAGUGCAGGCGUCAUCCCUGGAAACACCCAUAAAAACUCGAGUCAAAUGACCACACCUGUAUUUCAAGGUUGCAAAGACGAGGGCCAUGAAAUGGCACUACCACAUUGAUGGGUAUGAUUCAUUGUGUGACACACUGCUUUCCUACAGAUGAUGACACUUGACACCACCCCCGAGGAAUGUUAGCAUGGACAAAGUUUCCACACAGUCUGGCCACUACUUGAGAUCUGCAAAUGUUUAGAAACUUAAUUGUUUUAUUCUUUCUAAACUUACCUUUUUAAUCUAAUACUCUAUGCAUAUGUUGACUUUAAACAUUACAAAAAGAUUAAAAACCAAAAAAUGAACAGUGGUUUCAUGAGCUGC
Prionailurus viverrinus (fishing cat) is the source of this 2248-nucleotide long non-coding RNA. RefSeq lists it as uncharacterized. The record is from RefSeq and is a predicted model, not a curated record. NCBI's taxonomy places the organism in Eukaryota, Metazoa, Chordata, Mammalia, Carnivora, Felidae. The transcript is spliced from 6 exons.